AGAGAUUGUGUGAGAGAUUGAGAGAAUUCUUCUUAAAGGUUUUGAGUUAGUUUCCUUUGAGUUUUAAUAAAGAGAGUUAUUCUUUAUUUUGUGUUCUUAAACAAUCUUUCAUAAACUAGAGAAGAAAUGUAUAUGAAACUUGAUCAACAGAUAUAUGAUGAUGCUAUAUUGUUGAAGAGAAAAACGGACGUAAUCACAUACCUGAGACAAGAGGUUUAUGCUUGUCAGAAGAACAAGCUGUUACAAGUGUUGGAAAAUUACAAAGACAAGGGGAUCCUCUGUAUUUCCCGCUAAUAUCAAAACCUUAAAACAGAGAUCCUCUGUUUCAAAGCUUCUCAGUUUUCUCAUAUCUGUGGAAGAUGAAGUACGUGCUUGUAACUGGAGGUGUUGUGAGUAAAUUAGGAAAAGGAAUCACUGCAAGCAGUGUUGGUGUUCUUCUUCAGUCCUGUGGUCUUCGUGUUACUUGUAUCAAAAUUGAUCCUUAUCUGAACUAUGAUGCUGGAACCAUAUCUCCUUACGAACAUGGAGAAGUGUUUGUCUUGGAUGAUGGUAG
Camelina sativa (false flax) is the source of this 553-nucleotide non-coding RNA. The record is from RefSeq and is a predicted model, not a curated record. NCBI's taxonomy places the organism in Eukaryota, Viridiplantae, Streptophyta, Magnoliopsida, Brassicales, Brassicaceae.